GCGCCAUCGUCGAUAAUAAAUAAACCUAGCACUCCACCGCUGCUCGCACUCCACAGCCGCCCCACCGGUCCACCGCGUCGCACAGUCGCCGUCCACCGCGUCGCACAGCCGCCGUCCACCGCGUCGCACAGCUGCUCGCCAGUGCGCCGCACAGCCGCAAAAACAAGAGAUACGAAUUCGGUUCCGAUGGAGCUUACGAUCGAGAUGCGGUUGAAAGAUCUGGAGUCUUGAUGCCGAUUGUGAGAAUCUUAGAGAAUGAGUGGGUGAGUUUGGCUGGAAUUUAGAGAAGCGUCUCAUUAAUUGAGCGAUUUGGGCGAAAUAGGCUGUCAUUGGAGCGAAUUAGAGCGGGGAUUCGAACAAGUCUUCGUAUUUACGGUGAGGCGUAGGUUGGAUCGGUGAAUGCAGGAACGAUUCCCAUAGGAUUCUACACACUCCGCUCUGUGAAACUCAAACUUGGUUUGGUGCUCCCACUAGAAGAUGGUCCUUUGAGUUCUGUAUGGAGAAACGAAUGAAUUUAUGUCAGUACCAUAGAUACUAAUGGAAGUCUGAAAGUAGACUGGCUAAAGUGAAAAAGGUUGAAGAAACAAGUGAACAUCUUUUAUCAGCCCUCAAGGCAGAGUAGGAAGAACUAGAGUCAUCCCUCAACAAAGAAAAAUUGCAAACACUUCAGUUGAAGCAAGAGUUAGCAGAUGCGGAGACUCGCAACACUGACCUAUACAAGGUAACUACUGCUGGCCUGCCACAAUUUGAACUGAAUAUGGUUCCUCAUUCUAUUAUCUCCCACAAUUCCCAUUCUUGACUAAAGUAUGCCAGAAUGAACCAGCAGGCUCUAAACUUUUGUAAAAGUGCAGAUUGGGUGUUUAUUAUUGCCUCCCAUAUCAGCAGGAGCUAGAUUUUUUGUUAUCCAAGAAAUUUUCAAUAUAUUACUGCAGAGUAAAUUUCAAUUUUGGUCCUGUGACUAUAGGCGUCUUGUUAAUUGCAGUCCACGACUUUCAAAAGUUUUAAUUUAAUAACUUGACUAUGUAAUUUUUAUCAAUUUUGGUCACUCCUGCCAAAUUUCCGGUCAAAUUUUGCCGGAAAAACAUAAUUCAUCAAUUAGUGUUUAAUCUGAGGGGCAAAUUCGUCUUUUGAUCUGUGGUCCGAAUUAAGCAAAGCCAGUUUUUAACCCGAUUUUUCCGUCAAAAUUUGGCCAAAAUGACUAAAAUUGAUAAAAAUUGCAUAAUCAAGGUACUAAAUUAACACUUUUGAAAGUCAUGGACUGCAAUUAACAUGACCCCUAUAGUCACAUGACCAAAAUUGAAAUUUACUCUAUUACUGCAAGCAUUAGUUCUCUUCUGUACUUCCAAUGGAAAUAGUUGAACCUAGGAUAUAUUAGAAGAACUUGUUCCUUGUUACUUAUUUUACUAUUUCUUUUUCUAAAUCCAUUAGUUUUACAUUUUAAUAUUUAUAUUUACUUUUCUCAUGAGCUGUGUAUUAUGUUAUAUGACAUUCUAAUGCUACCAUUAUCUUUAUUAUAUAUGAAACUUCGAUAAAUUUAUCAUGCAGUUAAA
Molecule: long non-coding RNA, 1550 nt
Organism: Ipomoea nil (Japanese morning glory)
Lineage: Eukaryota; Viridiplantae; Streptophyta; Magnoliopsida; Solanales; Convolvulaceae
Exons: 3
Source: RefSeq, a predicted model, not a curated record